CUUGAGUUCAUCCAGGUUUGAUCUGUGACUCUAAGGCUUUGUUCUUCUCUGGCUCUGCCCUGACCUGCUCCAUGAUCCUCCCUCUGUCAGCCUCCCUCUGCCCUCUAUACCCAGGGAGGGACUUGGAAUGAUGUUCUGGGAUUCUUUUCUUCUGACUUUGUGUUUGUUUUUGUUUUGGAUGGAUUUUCUCUCUUUCGCCCAGGCUGCGGUGAAGUGGCGCAAUCUGGCUCACUGCAACCUCCACCCCCGGGUUCAAGCAAUUCUCCUGCCUCAGCCUCCCAAGUAGCUGGGAUUACAGGCAUGCGCCACCACACCCGGCCAAUUUUUGUAUUUUUGGUAGAGACGGGGUUUAGCCAUGUUGGCCAGGCUGGUCUUGAACUCCUGACCUCAGGUGAUCCACCCGUCUCAGCCUCCCAAAGUGCUGGGAUUAUAGGCGUGAGCCACCGCACCUGGCCUUGUUCCUCUGACUUUGAUGCAGCUCUAGGUGCUGG
This 491-nucleotide long non-coding RNA is filed under the name Homo sapiens (human). Its description in RNAcentral is "HSALNT0155802". The record is from RNAcentral. Lineage: Eukaryota; Metazoa; Chordata; Mammalia; Primates; Hominidae.